Chiloscyllium plagiosum (whitespotted bambooshark) is the source of this 845-nucleotide long non-coding RNA. RefSeq lists it as uncharacterized. Lineage: Eukaryota; Metazoa; Chordata; Chondrichthyes; Orectolobiformes; Hemiscylliidae. The record is from RefSeq and is a predicted model, not a curated record.
CUGUUGCAGAGAUGUGCAGUGAUCCUUCCCGUAGGAGACCUUAACGGAACGGUCCAAAGCAUUUUGACACAUCUUCAGCCUAGGUCCGACUUCAAAUUGGACUACCUAGCUCAGAGACUUGGCUGAGCAGAAAUCAGACUCACUUACUGAACAGUUUCCUAGAACGCUCAUCAAAAGAGACUUUAAAACACCUUCAGUCGACAGAAGCCAGCUGCCAGCUUUUCAUGUUAUCCUGAGAGGAAGGGACAGCUCCAACUGUGCACUAAAGGAACCGUCAGCUUUUGUGGGGUUUGGAGCUUUGAGUCAAGUCCCUUUCACAGGGGCAGGUUGGAUAAAAGCAGAUGAUACACAGUUGUAUCACUAGAGGGUCCUUGCUCAUUAUGUCUACCCAUCUGUGAGUUACUCGAAAGCAGGAAGAUCUAUUCCAGCCUUCAUCCCAGACUUUCUGUGGAAUGGCUACCUAAUUUUCCUGGCCAACAUUCCAACUCUCGGACCUGGGCGCCCGUACUGCUUUUCUGACUGUCUGCAGGAAAUCUCUGCUCCUAAGGGAAAGCAGCCAUUCACUGACUCUGAAGAGUCAAUGCUCAGUCCUUCAAACAUCUCCAGGACAGGGAUUCCAGUCCAGCAGUUGAGAAAUGGAGAGCACCAGGAAGGUGGAGAUCUCCAGGUACAGUCACAGAGAAAUGAGGAAACCGUAACCCUGGAGUGAGAUAGGGGCAACAGCUGUGUAAAUCCAGCCCAAUGCAGUAUGCCACUUUUACAAUUAACCAAGAGGCAAGCAAAAAUCCAUGUUAAAAGGAUUUUAAUGUAUUUAAUUUGUUCUGUUUGGACUUCUCUCCAAUAAA